CCAGACUCCUACGGGAGGCAGCAGUAGGGAAUCUUCGGCAAUGGACGAAAGUCUGACCGAGCAACGCCGCGUGAGUGAAGAAGGUUUUCGGAUCGUAAAACUCUGUUGGUAGAGAAGAACGUUGGUGAGAGUGGAAAGCUCAUCAAGUGACGGUAACUACCCAGAAAGGGACGGCUAACUACGUGCCAGCAGCCGCGGUAAUACGUAGGUCCCGAGCGUUGUCCGGAUUUAUUGGGCGUAAAGCGAGCGCAGGUGGUUUAUUAAGUCUGGUGUAAAAGGCAGUGGCUCAACCAUUGUAUGCAUUGGAAACUGGUAGACUUGAGUGCAGGAGAGGAGAGUGGAAUUCCAUGUGUAGCGGUGAAAUGCGUAGAUAUAUGGAGGAACACCGGUGGCGAAAGCGGCUCUCUGGCCUGUAACUGACACUGAGGCUCGAAAGCGUGGGGAGCAAACAGGAUUAGAUACCCUGGUAGUCCACGCCGUAAACGAUGAGUGCUAGAUGUAGGGAGCUAUAAGUUCUCUGUAUCGCAGCCAACGCAAUAAGCACUCCGCCUGGGGAGUACGACCGCAAGGUUGAAACUCAAAGGAAUUGACGGGGGCCCGC
RNAcentral lists this ribosomal RNA (601 nucleotides) under uncultured bacterium. RNAcentral describes it as "bacterial SSU rRNA". It matches the Rfam family "Bacterial small subunit ribosomal RNA", at positions 331 to 924 of the family's 1533-position model. The record is from RNAcentral.